RNAcentral lists this ribosomal RNA (253 nucleotides) under uncultured bacterium. RNAcentral describes it as "partial 16S ribosomal RNA". It matches the Rfam family "Bacterial small subunit ribosomal RNA", at positions 524 to 776 of the family's 1533-position model. The record is from RNAcentral.
UACGGGGGGAGCAAGCGUUGUUCGGAUUUACUGGGCGUAAAGGGCGCGUAGGCGGUAGCACAAGUCAGUUGUGAAAUCUCCGGGCUUAACUCGGAAAGGUCAACUGAUACUGUGCGGCUAGAGUGCGGAAGGGGCAACUGGAAUUCUUGGUGUAGCGGUGAAAUGCGUAGAUAUCAAGAGGAACACCUGCGGCGAAGGCGGGUUGCUGGGCCGACACUGACGCUGAGGCGCGAAAGCGUGGGGAGCGAACGGG